AUUGAACGCUGGCGGCAGGCUUAACACAUGCAAGUCGGGCGGGGGAAGGUAGCUUGCUACCGGACCUAGCGGCGGACGGGUGAGUAAUGCUUAGGAAUCUGCCUAUUAGUGGGGGACAACAUCUCGAAAGGGAUGCUAAUACCGCAUACGUCCUACGGGAGAAAGCAGGGGAUCUUCGGACCUUGCGCUAAUAGAUGAGCCUAAGUCGGAUUAGCUAGUUGGUGGGGUAAAGGCCUACCAAGGCGACGAUCUGUAGCGGGUCUGAGAGGAUGAUCCGCCACACUGGGACUGAGACACGGCCCAGACUCCUACGGGAGGCAGCAGUGGGGAAUGUUGGACAAUGGGGGGAACCCUGAUCCAGCCAUGCCGCGUGUGUGAAGAAGGCCUUAUGGUUGUAAAGCACUUUAAGCGAGGAGGAGGCUACUUUAGUUAAUACCUAGAGAUAGUGGACGUUACUCGCAGAAUAAGCACCGGCUAACUCUGUGCCAGCAGCCGCUGUAA
RNAcentral lists this ribosomal RNA (501 nucleotides) under uncultured bacterium. RNAcentral describes it as "partial 16S ribosomal RNA". It matches the Rfam family "Bacterial small subunit ribosomal RNA", at positions 30 to 523 of the family's 1533-position model. The record is from RNAcentral.